GUGUGUGGUGGAGCGGCUCGGCUCCCCGCUGUGCUUGGGCUUGGCGUGUGUCAAGGAGCUCCAGCACAAAGCUCUGCCGGCCGAACUGUGCUGACCCAGUAGCUGCCCUUCCUUCCACAGGAAUGAAGUAGUGAACAGCAGCAGCCUGUGAGGAGCUUUGCUGCUAUUCAGAAGCCGGUGGGGUGAUGUUGCAGCUUCCAGGAGCUGAGGGUUCAAAUCCAAGAAAGGGCUUGGAGUGAAGUGAAUCCUCUAAACAAGGAAGUCUUUUCUCAUGACACCUCGUGGUCUUGGUGCUGGGAGGAGAGCAGGGUGAGCCCUGCUUUCCCCACUGUUGGAGAUGCGUGCUGGGACCCCUCGCCUCCCCUGCUGUUCCCCCUCCCUGCUCGCGGGCACCGCGCUGACGCCUCGCCUGAUGCUCCGCUGAUGCCAUCCCCUCUCGGCAGACGGGCAAUUCACAGCGAUUGCUGAAAGAGGAGAGGCCGAAGGGGAAUUCUGGGCUCCGAGCUCGGCCCGCGGCGCGGCUCGCCCGCGUUUCUGCACGAGGGGGAGGGCAGGUGAGGCACGGCGGGGGUUAACGGAGCCUGAGCAGCCCGGUGGGACAGGGCUGAACUGGGUCCGUUCCCUCCUUCCCCUCCCAGGAAGCGAUGCU
RNAcentral lists this long non-coding RNA (649 nucleotides) under Struthio camelus australis. RNAcentral's name for it is "lncRNA (ENSSCUG00000017519.1)". The record is from RNAcentral. Lineage: Eukaryota; Metazoa; Chordata; Aves; Struthioniformes; Struthionidae.